This 498-nucleotide ribosomal RNA is filed under the name uncultured bacterium. RNAcentral's name for it is "partial 16S ribosomal RNA". It matches the Rfam family "Bacterial small subunit ribosomal RNA", at positions 30 to 523 of the family's 1533-position model. The record is from RNAcentral.
AUUGAACGCUGGCGGCAUGCCUUACACAUGCAAGUCGAACGGUAACAGGUCUUCGGAUGCUGACGAGUGGCGAACGGGUGAGUAAUACAUCGGAACGUGCCUAGUAGUGGGGGAUAACUACUCGAAAGAGUGGCUAAUACCGCAUGAGAUCUACGGAUGAAAGCAGGGGAUCGCAAGACCUUGUGCUACUAGAGCGGCCGAUGGCAGAUUAGGUAGUUGUUGGGAUAAAAGCUUACCAAGCCGACGAACUGUAGCUGGUCUGAGAGGACGAUCAGGCACACGGGGACGGAGACACUGCCCAGACUCCUACGGGAGGCAGAGGUGGGGAAUUUUGGACAAGGGGCGAAAGCCUGAUCCAGCAAUGCCGCGUGCAGGAUGAAGGCCUUCGGGUUGUAAACUGCUUUUGUACGGAACGAAAAGCCCCGGGUUAAUACCCUGGGGUCAUGACGGUACCGUAAGAAUAAGCACCGGCUAACUACGUGCCAGCCGCCGCGGUAA